AUUGAACGCUGGCGGCAGGCCUAACACAUGCAAGUCGAGCGGAUGAAGGGAGCUUGCUCCUGGAUUCAGCGGCGGACGGGUGAGUAAUGCCUAGGAAUCUGCCUGGUAGUGAGGGAUAACGUCCGGAAACGGGCGCUAAUACCGCAUACGCCCUGAGGGAGAAAGUGGGGGAUCUUCGGACCUCACGCUAUCAGAUGAGCCUAGGUCGGAUUAGCUAGUUGGUGGGGUAAAGGCCUACCAAGGCGACGAUCCGUAACUGGUCUGAGAGGAUGAUCAGUCACACUGGAACUGAGACACGGUCCAGACUCCUACGGGAGGCAGCAGUGGGGAAUAUUGGACAAUGGGCGAAAGCCUGAUCCAGCCAUGCCGCGUGUGUGAAGAAGGUCUUCGGAUUGUAAAGCACUUUAAGUUGGGAGGAAGGGCAGUAAGUUAAUACCUUGCUGUUUUGACGUUACCAACAGAAUAAGCACCGGCUAACUUCGUG
This 484-nucleotide ribosomal RNA is filed under the name uncultured bacterium. RNAcentral's name for it is "partial 16S ribosomal RNA". It matches the Rfam family "Bacterial small subunit ribosomal RNA", at positions 30 to 507 of the family's 1533-position model. The record is from RNAcentral.